Molecule: ribosomal RNA, 383 nt
Filed under: uncultured eukaryote
Lineage: Eukaryota
Description: partial 18S ribosomal RNA
Rfam family: Eukaryotic small subunit ribosomal RNA
Source: RNAcentral
CAAUAGCGUAUAUUAAAGGUGUUGCAGUUAAAAAGCUCGUAGUUGGAUUUCUGGUGGGAGCGAUCGGUCUGGCGCUUAGCGCGAGUACUUGCAUCGUCUCCGGCCAUCCUUGGGGAGAGUCUGUCUGGCAUUAGGUUGUCGGGCAGAGGAUCCUCAUCGUUUACUGUGAAAAAAUUAGAGUGUUCAAAGCAGGCUUAUGCCGUUGAAUAUAUUAGCAUGGAAUAAUAAGAUAGGACUUUGGUACUAUUUUGUUGGUUUGCGCACCAAAGUAAUGAUUAAUAGGGACAGUUGGGGGUAUUCGUAUUCCGUUGUCAGAGGUGAAAUUCUUGGAUUUACGGAAGACGAACUACUGCGAAAGCAUUUACCAAGGAUGUUUUCAUUAA